ACAGGAAGCAGCUUGCUGCUUCGCUGACGAGUGGCGGACGGGUGAGUAAUGUCUGGGAAACUGCCUGAUGGAGGGGGAUAACUACUGGAAACGGUAGCUAAUACCGCAUAAUGUCGCAAGACCAAAGAGGGGGACCUUCGGGCCUCUUGCCAUCGGAUGUGCCCAGAUGGGAUUAGCUAGUAGGUGGGGUAACGGCUCACCUAGGCGACGAUCCCUAGCUGGUCUGAGAGGAUGACCAGCCACACUGGAACUGAGACACGGUCCAGACUCCUACGGGAGGCAGCAGUGGGGAAUAUUGCACAAUGGGCGCAAGCCUGAUGCAGCCAUGCCGCGUGUAUGAAGAAGGCCUUCGGGUUGUAAAGUACUUUCAGCGGGGAGGAAGGCGAUAAGGUUAAUAACCUUGUCGAUUGACGUUACCCGCAGAAGAAGCACCGGCUAACUCCGUGCCAGCAGCCGCGGUAAUACGGAGGGUGCAAGCGUUAAUCGGAAUUACUGGGCGUAAAGCGCACGCAGGCGGUCUGUCAAGUCGGAUGUGAAAUCCCCGGGCUCAACCUGGGAACUGCAUUCGAAACUGGCAGGCUAGAGUCUUGUAGAGGGGGGUAG
This 603-nucleotide ribosomal RNA is filed under the name uncultured Pseudomonadota bacterium. RNAcentral describes it as "bacterial SSU rRNA". It matches the Rfam family "Bacterial small subunit ribosomal RNA", at positions 69 to 664 of the family's 1533-position model. The record is from RNAcentral. Lineage: Bacteria; Pseudomonadati; Pseudomonadota.